Molecule: long non-coding RNA, 203 nt
Organism: Arabidopsis thaliana (thale cress)
Lineage: Eukaryota; Viridiplantae; Streptophyta; Magnoliopsida; Brassicales; Brassicaceae
Product: other RNA
Exons: 2
Source: RefSeq
GGAAGAAGAAGAAGAAUAAGUGAAAAGAUCUAGUUUUGUUGAGGAAGAAGCUGAUAAGAAGUAUCAUCAUUGGCUUGAUAGCAUGAAGAAGAGGGAAAUCGGCAGUUAUUAAAGGGUGGAAUUCCAAUUUUGAGAAAAAAAAACAAAACCCAUAACGUGAAAUAGGGUGAAGAAGAGAAGAAGGAGAGGAAAGAGGAAGAAGG